Molecule: long non-coding RNA, 694 nt
Organism: Nicotiana tabacum (common tobacco)
Lineage: Eukaryota; Viridiplantae; Streptophyta; Magnoliopsida; Solanales; Solanaceae
Source: RefSeq, a predicted model, not a curated record
GGGGAGAAAAGGAUUUUUGGAGAGAGAGGGGGAGUGGGGGACAAUAGAAAAAAAGGAUUUUGGAUAAAAAUAGGGACAAAGAACUACCGUAUUGAGGGUUUUUUGAGUUCCUUUUUCUGAUUUUGGGUUCUUGUUCAUUCAUAGAUAAAAGGAAAAAAAAGAUUUCAAUUCUUCUUAGUUUCAAUUUGAUUCUAAAUUCGAAAAUACACAAAUAUUUUCAAGUUUCCUCUCUGAUUUUUGGGUUCCGAAAAUAUGGAGAUUAGCUGAGGUCCGUGGACUGCUCAUGAGGUUCAAAUUCGUGGUUCCGAAUCCAUUUUUAUUGCUGUCUUGCUCGUUUGCUGCUGGACAUUCGAAUUCCGGUGCCGGAUUUGCUUGUAAUAGCUUCCGAACAGAAGUAAUCGAAAAACUCUUAUUCAGGAUCUGAGACAGGUGCAUCAGGCGGUCCUACCGGUGUGCAUCUCCGUUAUCCCCAAGCCUAGUGGUGAGCUGUCUUUCCUGAGCCGUUUCGCAAUACCUAGUGUCUCUCUUUGUAUUUGUAUUCUGUCUAUUCUAUGUUCAGACGGUAUUUGGAAGUUUGUAUAAUUUAUUAGAUGCACAUACACUUGUGACAUCAGGUCCUGGCACACACAUUAGAAGAAUUAUGAUUUGAAUUACUAUUUUGGUUUUAUUUAUUUAAACCUCUUAUUUUCUUGAA